GACGAACGCUGGCGGCGUGCUUAACACAUGCAAGUCGAGCGGUAAGGCCCUUUCGGGGGUACACGAGCGGCGAACGGGUGAGUAACACGUGGGUGACCUGCCCUCAGCUCUGGGAUAAGCCUGGGAAACCGGGUCUAAUACUGGAUAUGACUCCAUGACGCAUGUUGUGGGGUGGAAAGCCUUGUGCGGCUGAGGAUGGGCCCGCGGCCUAUCAGCUUGUUGGUGGGGUGANGGCCUACCAAGGCGACGACGGGUAGCCGGCCUGAGAGGGCGACCGGCCACACUGGGACUGAGACACGGCCCAGACCCCUACGGGA
This 317-nucleotide ribosomal RNA is filed under the name uncultured bacterium. RNAcentral's name for it is "bacterial SSU rRNA". It matches the Rfam family "Bacterial small subunit ribosomal RNA", at positions 28 to 346 of the family's 1533-position model. The record is from RNAcentral.